GAUGAACGCUAGCGGCAGGCUUAAUACAUGCAAGUCGAGGGGCAGCACGGUUAGCAAUAACUGGUGGCGAGUGGCGAACGGGUGAGUAAUAUAUCGGAACGUACCCUGGAGUGGGGGAUAACGUAGCGAAAGUUACGCUAAUACCGCAUACGAUCUAAGGAUGAAAGUGGGGGAUCGCAAGACCUCAUGCUCCUGGAGCGGCCGAUAUCUGAUUAGCUAGUUGGUGGGGUAAAGGCCUACCAAGGCAUCGAUCAGUAGCUGGUCUGAGAGGACGACCAGCCACACUGGGACUGAGACACGGCCCAGACUCCUACGGGAGGCAGCAGUGGGGAAUUUUGGACAAUGGACGCAAGUCUGAUCCAGCCAUGCCGCGUGCGGGAAGAAGGCCUUCGGUUGUAACGCUUUGUCAGGAAGAAAAGGUUACUGGUUAAUACCUGGGACUCAUGACGGUACCUGAAGAAUAAGACACCGGCUAACUAACGUGCCAGCAGCCGCGGUAAU
RNAcentral lists this ribosomal RNA (501 nucleotides) under uncultured bacterium. RNAcentral describes it as "bacterial SSU rRNA". It matches the Rfam family "Bacterial small subunit ribosomal RNA", at positions 28 to 524 of the family's 1533-position model. The record is from RNAcentral.